This 1313-nucleotide long non-coding RNA is filed under the name Apis florea (little honeybee). Its description in RNAcentral is "uncharacterized LOC100868532, transcript variant X6". Lineage: Eukaryota; Metazoa; Arthropoda; Insecta; Hymenoptera; Apidae. The record is from RNAcentral.
CUCUCUCUCUCUCUCUCUCUCUGCCUCACUUAUAUUCUCUCUCUCUCUCUCUUCUCAUUCCUUCUCUCUCUGUCUCUCUCUCUCUCUCUCCAUUACCCCCACUUGGUUGCUCAUUCUGUCUCUUUCUCUCUUUUUCCUCCCCACUCUCUAUCUUUCUCUCUUGCUCUGGCUUUCUCUCUCUCUCGCUCUCUCGCUCUUGCUCUUUCUCUAUCUUUCUCAUUUAUUCGCUCACUUACUCUUUCUCACGCAUCUACACGUACGCGGGUACAUUAUAUAACAUACACGCGGUCUGUCCUCUCUUGAUCUGUGUGCCUGCUUGUUGUGUUGUCUAUCUCCCUCGGGUUUAGGUUCGGGCUCGAGUGAAUCAAAAUAACGAAGAGAAUGUGCCGUUGAUGAUCGGUGGAAAAAAAGGGUGGUGGUACUUGCUAAAUAUCAUCGGAUCCUUUGGUGCUCUCGAUAAUCGGUCCGAAAUAUAGUUUUGUGUAUCGAUGCACGCAAGAUUUCUCGUACAGAUCGUCCCGCCUUUCUACACCGAUGCUGGAUAUCAGUGAUUUAAAUUAUGUGUGAAUUCGACGUAAGGAAACGCAAUCGCUUUGUGGAUUUUUUCGGUCUCGCCCUCGAGUUUAUUGUAAAGAAAGGACAAAAUCAAAGGUGUAUUCUAUAAUUAAGAAGUUAAUGAAUUUUGUCCAAGUGGCUAACUGUUAUGUGUGAACACGCUAAAGAAGUAAUUGGUCCGCGAAACACCGGUGCUGAAGUGUACCAUCGACUGUGAUAUACCGUGUGAUAUCCUUCGAGGAAGAAUGCAACUUCGUGCAAGAUUCGAUCGAUGAAAAAUAGAAUUCUCCACCCGUCAUCAUGUUCACGAGGGCCAAGAUGCCGGUGACUGGUGAUGGGACUUUUAUUAACCGCGUGGUAACGAGAAAUGUGACAUGUUGUCGUUAAACAACAAUGAGCACCGGGGAGCACGCGUCAGCGAAAAAAUCAUCGUAAGUACUCAAAAUGAUUUCUCUCUGUUUGGCUACACAUUGCGGCGUGCUUGAGUAUGCUUGCUUGAUCAUCCCAGAGCAUAUUAGCAUCGAUGAUGGCAACGGCAGCCUGGUUACUGGUAUGGAUCAUGUGGCCGACCACACGCCAUCGACGAAAUCAGUGAAAAGGGUAUGCAGUUGACGCAUCCCUCUGUCCCUUAAAGACUGGAAAUAAGCGUCCAGAGGAAAGCGGAACCGUUUCUUUUCAACGUCGUUUUACAUGCGUACGUGCGUGCGUACGCGCGUGUUACAUUCGCUAGCUUGCAUGCGAAAAGUGCGAGGAAGGGC